CCAGAGAACUUAGCAGAGAUGCUUUGGUGCCUUCGGGAACUCUGAGACAGGUGCUGCAUGGCUGUCGUCAGCUCGUGUUGUGAAAUGUUGGGUUAAGUCCCGCAACGAGCGCAACCCUUAUCCUUUGUUGCCAGCGGCUCGGCCGGGAAACUCAAAGGAGACUGCCGGUGAUAAACCGGAGGAAGGUGGGGAUGACGUCAAGUCAUCAUGGCCCUUACGGCCAGGGCUACACACGUGCUACAAUGGCGCAUACAAAGAGAAGCGACCUCGCGAGAGCAAGCGGACCUCACAAAGUGCGUCGUAGUCCGGAUUGGAGUCUGCAACUCGACUCCAUGAAGUCGGAAUCGCUAGUAAUCGUAGAUCAGAAUGCUACGGUGAAUACGUUCCCGGGCCUUGUACACACCGCCCGUCACACCAUGGGAGUGGGUUGCAAAAGAAGUAGGUAGCUUAACCUUCGGGAGGGCGCUUACCACUUUGUGAUUCAUGACUGGGGUGAAGUCGUAACAAGGUAGGCGUAGCGAG
RNAcentral lists this ribosomal RNA (522 nucleotides) under uncultured bacterium. RNAcentral's name for it is "bacterial SSU rRNA". It matches the Rfam family "Bacterial small subunit ribosomal RNA", at positions 988 to 1509 of the family's 1533-position model. The record is from RNAcentral.